GACGAACGCUGGCGGCGUGCUUAACACAUGCAAGUCGAACGGAAAGGCCCUGCUUUUGUGGGGUGCUCGAGUGGCGAACGGGUGAGUAACACGUGAGUAACCUGCCCUUGACUUUGGGAUAACUUCAGGAAACUGGGGCUAAUACCGGAUAGGAGCUCCUGCUGCAUGGGGGGGGUUGGAAAGUUUCGGCGGUUGGGGAUGGACUCGCGGCUUAUCAGCUUGUUGGUGGGGUAGUGGCUUACCAAGGCUUUGACGGGUAGCCGGCCUGAGAGGGUGACCGGCCACAUUGGGACUGAGACACGGCCCAGACUCCUACGGGAGGCAGCAGUGGGGAAUAUUGCGCAAUGGGCGGAAGCCUGAUGCAGCAACGCCGCGUGCGGGAUGACGGCCUUCGGGUUGUAAACCGCUUUCGCCUGUGACGAAGCGUGAGUGACGGUAAUGGGUAAAGAAGCACCGGCUAACUACGUG
RNAcentral lists this ribosomal RNA (468 nucleotides) under uncultured bacterium. RNAcentral's name for it is "partial 16S ribosomal RNA". It matches the Rfam family "Bacterial small subunit ribosomal RNA", at positions 28 to 507 of the family's 1533-position model. The record is from RNAcentral.